AUGCAAGUCGAGCGGGCGUAGCAAUACGUCAGCGGCAGACGGGUGAGUAGCGCGUGGGAACGUACCUUUUGGUUCGGAACAACUGAGGGAAACUUCAGCUAAUACCGGAUAAGCCCUUACGGGGAAAGAUUUAUCGCCGAAAGAUCGGCCCGCGUCUGAUUAGCUAGUUGGUGAGGUAAUGGCUCACCAAGGCGACGAUCAGUAGCUGGUCUGAGAGGAUGAUCAGCCACAUUGGGACUGAGACACGGCCCAAACUCCUACGGGAGGCAGCAGUGGGGAAUAUUGGACAAUGGGCGCAAGCCUGAUCCAGCCAUGCCGCGUGAGUGAUGAAGGCCCUAGGGUUGUAAAGCUCUUUUGUGCGGGAAGAUAAUGACGGUACCGCAAGAAUAAGCCCCGGCUAACUUCGUGCCAGCAGCCGCGGUAAUACGAAGGGGGCUAGCGUUGCUCGGAAUCACUGGGCGUAAAGGGUGCGUAGGCGGGUCUUUAAGUCAGGGGUGAAAUCCUGGAGCUCAACUCCAGAACUGCCUUUGAUACUGAAGAUCUUGAGUUCGGGAGAGGUGAGUGGAACUGCGAGUGUAGAGGUGAAAUUCGUAGAUAUUCGCAAGAGCACCAGUGGCGAAGGC
RNAcentral lists this ribosomal RNA (623 nucleotides) under Bradyrhizobium elkanii. RNAcentral describes it as "bacterial SSU rRNA". It matches the Rfam family "Bacterial small subunit ribosomal RNA", at positions 55 to 722 of the family's 1533-position model. Lineage: Bacteria; Pseudomonadati; Pseudomonadota; Alphaproteobacteria; Hyphomicrobiales; Nitrobacteraceae. The record is from RNAcentral.